AUUCAAAUAGCUUAUUAUAGAGUAUAAUAUUGAAGAUAUUAGGGAGAUUAGUAAAUCUUUGAAUA
RNAcentral lists this transfer RNA (65 nucleotides) under Hypoderma sinense. RNAcentral describes it as "tRNA-Phe". The record is from RNAcentral. Lineage: Eukaryota; Metazoa; Arthropoda; Insecta; Diptera; Oestridae.